CUUUUGAAUUAUCUUUUAUUUUAUUUUUUGUGGAACGUUGUUGCUGCAUAGUGCCUUUCAAUCUGACAUAUCUGUCAAGAACAUGCUCGAACAAUAGGAAUACAUCUGGACUUAUCAGUAUCUGUUUUGACAUCUUUGACAAGGAAUUUCCGAAAGGAUAUGUACUAGGAGAUUUAAAAAUGAACAUACAAAAUAACAUAGAAAGUCCAAAACGUUUGAGAGUAAAGACUUCCGAAGGUAAAUCAGCGGGACCAAAAAGUGUUAAUCAGUUAGUAGAAAUUAACUUUGUUACUCGGAAUGGCAACAUAACCACAACACGUGCUAUUCACAAUUCUUGUUUUCUACGAGAAAACUGCACAAUUGAAGUAUCUUUCCGUACAUCAAAUUAUUCAGAGAAUCAAAGUUCCCUCGGAAAUUUUACAAUACAGUUUCAAGGUAUGUAUCUUAAUAUGAAUUAUUAUUAUGUACAUGUGAAAGUCGGAAGCCUGUAGUUUUGGGGUUGUCGUUAGUUCCUGUCUGUCAAAAUUGUUUUUCUUUUAAAAAAAAAAUGUUGUAAGCAAAAACGCCAGAUUUCUGUUUUGAUUUGAGACCCACUUUUUAUAUAUAUAUAUAUCGGGCGGUUUGAUAGCCGACUAUACAGUAUAAGGUUUUCUCAUUGUUUAAGGUCGUACAGUUGCCUAUAAUUGCUUACUUUCAUUUUAUUUAAUUCUGUUAGAUAGGUGUUAUAUUGUCAGUCACACACCAUCUCUUUAUUUUCAUAUAAAUACAUUAUUUAAGAAAAGAAAUUUGAUAACUUAUGCAAUAGAUGCAUUUAAUAUAGUUAGAGCACUAUUUCUAUUUUUACUACUUUAGAGUCGUUGAUUGCUGCUAUGUAUCAUAGAUAUUAAUUAUCACAACACACAUUAUUAAUAAAUAAAUUCAUCCCUCUUGAAUGAUCUUGUGCCAAGUAAUGAUGAAUUAGAUAAACAUCAUACAUUUAAUUUAAAAUUAUGAAUUAUUACUUUUAUAAGACAAGAUUCUUUUCUGUAUUAUCUUGUAACACUGUAGCCCUUCUCACGAAUCAAGUGUCAAACCUUUUUUAAUCGCCUGUUUUAACGUAGUUAUAUUCAGAUUCAUAAUUGAUAAUCUUAAGCAGCUUGUCAUAUUAACCGAUAAAAUGUUCAUUUUAACAAAAUGAUAAAUACAAAAAAGAAGAAAACAAGUACUAUCCUUUAAAAAGAUAGUCUACGCAUUAAGAUGAGAGUAAAGUUGGUUAUGUAUUUUUAAUCAUAUAUAACAUGUGCUUAAAAUUUAACGUCAAAAGUCUGACAAUUCUGAAAUUUGUCUGUAAUGAAUGUAUAGACCUGUUACAAUAAGAUCAUCUUGUUUGGUGUUAGAUGCAAUGUUCAGGUAUUCAUGUGUUAUUGUUUUACCACAAAUGGUUUGAUAAGCCAAAAAUGAAAAUAAGAGAAAAAAGGGGGGGUAAGAUUUGGCGCUCAUUAAUUUUGGUGCUAGUAGUCGAUAUGUUAAUAAUACUAAAUAUUAUUCUGUUUCAAUUUCUGACGUUUACUUAUAACCUUUGUAUAUAUUGGGUGUGUGGUGUUUUUAUAUGUUAUAAAUGUACUUUGUUGGUUGGAGAGGGCUUAUAUUCGCAUCGCCUGUUAAUUAUGUUUCAUUAACAUUUUGUUUAAAUUAUCAACAAAUAAUACGUUUACACUUCUAUCCAAUGAUACUAAACACAGUUAAUUUUUUUUAAUGUUUAUAAAUGGGACCCAAAAUCUAUCAGCAUAUCAUGAUAUAUAGAUAUAUUUAAGUGACAUUUUUGUUACAGCCGAUUGCAUUGAGUGUGUAGUUAAAGGUAGUAUCUUUGGUUAGCUUGCUUGCUAGAUGAGCCGGGAAGUCAUUAUUAGGUUAGGUAAACUACCAGAGUAGACAAGAAGAUAUAUCUUUGUAGGACUAGGCGAAAGGAGGGUAGUACACCUUACCUAAUAAUGACUCCACGGUUCAGCUAACAAGCAAGCUAGCCAAAGAUAUCACCUUUAUCUACACACUCAAUGCAAUUGGCUCUAUAUGGUCAAUAGAUGAUCCACUUGCUUUGCUUCCACUGAAUUUGUGUGUAAUGUAUGAUAGGGAAAAAGGAGUAUUAAUUUCAUAUGAACACUUUCGAUUAUAUUACUUCCAGUUCGCAAUUUAAAAUCUGCAUCUUAUAAAAGCGUAAAAAUAAAACUGCAGACAUAAUAAGAUAACAAUUCCACAGAGAGUAAUUCAGUCCAAUUUUGAUAAUAAGAUAGUUUAAGAAAAGUUAGCUAUCAAUUUUUUAACGGAUUGAUAUCUGAUUAGAUUUAAAUGAUCUAUAUAAAUAAAUGUGCAUUUCAAAUAUGACAUACGUAUAGUUUGACUGACUCCCUUAUUACUUUACGAAGAUUUCAAUAUAGGAGUAUGUCAUUUGAGUUUUGCUUCCCUAGUUGUUUUAGGAUACCUUAUCAAUCGUGAAACCCUACACAUGUCUAUGUAUAUCUUUUUUUCAUUCUGGCUUUCUAUUUCUAAAGUUCAUUUUAACACCUGUUUUGAUAGUCGAACGACUUAUAUUUGAUAUAGUGCUUUGAAUGUUUAACUAUUUCCUUGAAAAAUAAAGUAGAAAAAAAUAAACUUUUAGCAAACUGGUUUGUCGAGAUUAUGAACAGCAAUAACAUAUCUGUUUUGUGUAUAUCUUUUUUUAUGUAUAUUUUGAGGAAAACUCAAAAUUGAAAGUCCCUAAUCAAAUGGCAAAAGCAAAAGCUCAAACACACCAAACGAAUGAAUAACAACUCAUUUAUCCCAACCCCUUUGCUCAGCAACCAAUAAUACAUGUAGUAUCAAUGAAGUAAUGCUUUUAACAUUAUAUUGGAGUCAAAUAAGUACAUUUUACAGGAACUGAGGGGUUUUCAAAUGCAUUGCGGGAGUGUCGUUAAUUGCAUUUUUGAACUGUCGCAUACUUCAAUAUCAUAUUGUUCCAUCACGGUCAGCAUUAAGAUAAUAAUGAUUCUAUAGGUUCGUAAUUAAUGAAAUGGUAUUGUUCUAUGUAUGAUAUACUGUUUCAAUGUCAAAUAAAAAUGGUAUUGGCUAUAUCAAACAGUACUUAUCUUUUAUAUAUGAAUUGCAUACGUUAGAAGAACGAACGUUCGUGAAUAAUAGAUGCUAUAAUAACUGAUAAACUAUCUGUAUAAGUGAUUGAGUGGUAAGAUAAAACACAAUUAAGAUACAAUUACGAUAUAUUUCUCAGAUAUUUAGUUAUUUUUUUUUGUCUGUAUUUUCAAGUACAUGUAAACGUAAAAUGUAUACUUGAGAGUUAAAAUUUCUAAAACACUGACAUGUUGUAUUGGUGAAAAAAGGAAGAUACGGUGAUCAAAUUACAAGAUCUGUCGAUAUUACAAAUUCACUUCUAAAGACCAAAAUAAACACAAUCAUGUUUACAUUCAAAAUGUUUUCAUUGUGUUUUUCAUAUUGUAACUAGCUUUUGUAGCUUUCAAAAGUUAACAAUGUUUGAAUUAGAAUUAAAACGAUCAUAUGCAAUAAAUGAUUUACUUAAAUCUCCCUCAAAGCAAACCAGAAGUUAUUUUUGUUCACAAAUCAUGUCAUUGUUUCUUCGUUUAAAUUGUUUUACUUUUUGUAAUGUCUUUUUUUUUGUCUUAGCUUUCUUAACGGUAUAGGUUUGGGUGAUUGUUGAAGGGCGUAUGAUGACUAUUUCUAAAAACAAAUAAAUAUUCUUUAUUCUUCAGAAUACUUCUUAAUAUUAUUUUUUAUUGCUUACAUAUUCAUUUGAUAUUGGAUGUUUUGAUGUCUAACUGUCAAUCAUACUACAUCGUCUAACUCUUUUUAGUGAAGAGUUAUUAACACCGAAUGUCGGAUAGUAUGUAGUUUUAAAAUACACAAUUGUUUUUGCUAAAGCGUGCGAAAGCGUGCAUAUUGCAAACACUUUUGACGGUGAAAUGUUCGAAGUGUUCGCAUUAACUGCACGCUUUCCAGCAAGGAUAAUUGUGUAUUUCAAAACUAGAUAGUAUCCUACAUUCGGUGCACUACCUUAUUUAUUAAAUUUCAUUGAUAUAAACAAGUAAAUACGACUACUUACCUUUCAAGCGGUCUGCUCGACUGUUACUUCCAUCAUCCAUCACGUGAUUUUGAUUGUACCCCUUGAGGCAUAGCCAGAUUACUUGAUUUAUAAUUCUAUGCAAAAGUUAUGCCACAAAAAAUAUAAAAGCCUCUUCUAGUAUUAAAAUGCAGAAUUGCAGUGUUCUGUUUGAUCGUACCGGAACAUGCUUUAUUUUAUAACAGCGACUGAUACCAUGCGUUAAUAACUGUGAACCAUCCUGGUAUUCUAUACUUGCUUUAAUUUGCGGUGCCUGAACACUUUAUUAGUAAACAAUGCUAUUGUGGGCACCCUUAUUGAUUAAUUGAUUCUGAUUACCUUUUUAUCAAGACUUUCUAUACAAUAUACAUACAUAUAUCAUAACAAUAUUAGCCAGCUGAACAACUCAUUCAUUAUUCUACUUCCAAGAAUUUCAGACUGUUGAGUUCUAUACACCGCGUCACAUUCUUCUAUAGAAUAUGAAUUAAUAUAUCAAUCUUAUAUGAAUAGAUCAUUGUUUAUUUUUCUAUGUAAAUGUCCUUUAGCAAUAUUUUUAGUAAUAGACAGCCUAUCAGUAUUUGUGGAAUUGAUGAAUUGCGAUCGAAAAAAUAGCAUUGAUAAAAAGCACACAAUUAAUAUCCGGACUAAUGACUAUUGUAAUUGUUUUAUGCUAGAGCGAUGAUAUACAAGAAAGCUUCGAGUCAUUUUUUAUACCGGAAAUGCUUUAAAAAAUGAAAAGGAAGAUCACAAAAAUACUGAACUUAGAGGAAAAUCAAUUCGGAAAGUCCAUAAUCACAUGGCAAAAUCAAAUAACAAAACGCAUCAAAAACGAAUGGACAAGCACUGUCAUAUUCCUGACUUGGUACAGGUAUUUUCAAAUGUAGAAAAUGGUGGAUUAAACCUGGUUUUAUAGCGCUAACCCUCUCACUUUGAUGACAGUCUCGUCAAAUUCCGUUAUAUUUACAUUGAUACGUAAACUAAAAGUGCAUUUGUGACGUCAUUUGUCAGUCAACCAGUGUAGUUUCUCAUUCCUUUAGAAUUUCAGACUUUGACAAGAAAUGCAAUUCCAUUGUCAACAAACAUCAAUAACCAUAAGUCGGAUAUGCAUAAACAGAAGAUUGCAGUAUAUUUGCAUUAGACAUCAAUCAAGUUCACAAAAAUAAAAAUACAAAAACUCAUCUAAUUGUCAACAUUAACUUUUUAUGUUAUUCAAUCCCAAAUUUAAAUACAAUUAUUAUUGGAUGAAAUAUCUCGAAAAUUAACGAAAAAACGUCACAAUUUGUGCAUUUAAAUAUCCUUUUGUCAAUAUUCAGACGUCCACGAAAAGUAUGAAAACUUCUAGUUUUUAUGUUUGACACCAAGAAUAUACAUGUGACGUCAAGUAGUUUAGAGGCAUAAGACGAAGGCAUAUAGAAAAUCUUACAAAACUGUGCUAAGAAAACUUUACAUUUUUUCGAAGUAAAAAUACAACAGACUGAUAUGCAUUAAACCACAUAAGUUAAGAUAUACAAUUGUUGUAUUUGUACUAAUUUACCGAAGGAUAUGUAGAAAAAUCUGUCCGUUCUCAAAAUAUCUGAACUCUAAUACACAGUAUACAGUAAACAAUGAUAAACCAUUUCGUAUAGAUUGAACUGUAGCUACAUCAGAAUUUUCGUUUCAUAUUAUUUUCUAGAAUCAAAGCUUUUGUAAUCGGUCGAUGAUAUAGAGACGCCAAAUUCUAUUCUUCUAUUCAAUUUGUUCGCUUUAUUUCAUCCAGUUUGAAUUGAACUUCUUAUGAUGUUUGCUUACAGAAAAAUUCAGUUAAACAAUUCCAUUCGUUUGAUGUGUUUUAGCUUUUGAUUUUGAUUUUCGAUAAGAGACUUUAUUUUUUUAAUUUUCUUUGGAUUUCAGUAUUUUUGUUAUUUUACUUUUUACGGUUCACUACCAAGUUUCAUUAGCAAUCACUGUGAAUCAAACUUCGUCCCUCAUUGAAGUCUGUUAUGUGUUUUCAAUAUCAAACACAUCAACCGAAAACAAAAGAAAUCCCUUAGAUGCAUCAAUAUGAUAAUUCUGCGCCUUCAAAUAUCUCAUUUUAUGCACUUAGUUGAUAGGAUCUGACGAGUUGUGGUUAAAGAUGUUUGAACCCCUAUUGUCUACUUUUGAUCUUAUGAUUUUGAUUUUCUUUCCUAUGUACUAUAAUUGGUUCUUUUACGAUCAUAACAAUUUUUUAUAUUCCUUUCAUUUUACGUUUUCCAAGAAAAUAAUUGUUAAUUUAUUUAUCUUUAUGUUUUCAGUAUAAUUGUAAUAAUCUGUUCUUAACCCACAAUGACACAUAGAUUACGAAUACACGUUCAUACAUUUAAUGAGUGUAAAUAGAAAUGUAAUUAGAAUUGUGUUUUCAUCAUAAAAAUUCAGUAACAAACACGACUUUUAUUAAUACUUAAAAUUAGUUGAAAAUAUGCCAUGUUUUGAAAAGUACGAGUUAUUUACGACAAUAUUCAGUACAGUAUUAUUCUUCCCCUGUUUGAUAGCUCAAUAAUUUAUUUUUUUUAAAUACCGAACUCCAAGAAUAUCAUAUACAUUGUAUCUCCUAUAAUAAUAAGUGUUUCCACUGUAUUUUAAAAUUUUUGAAAAACUAAGGCUUUUCUACCUCAGGAAUAGAUUACCUUUAAUAGCUGUAUUUGGCAAAACUUUUUGGAAUCUUUGUCCUCAAGUUUGUACUUUUUUGCUAGUUUUGACCUUUCAGCUCUUUUUUGUUAUUCGGGAGUCACUGCUGAGUCUUUUGUAGACGAAACGAGCGUCUGACGCAGAUAAAAAAAAUCCGACUUGGUAUCUUUGAUGAGUAUAUUUAUUAUUAGUAGUCAUGUUAACAAUGAUCAUUCGUUGUGCAAGAAUGAACGCAAAUGUGUCGUAUUGAUGAUACAUGUUGUUCAAUUAAACUAAUUCGAAUACAAAAAAGGAAGAUGGAAAGCCAAGUUGUGCCAUAGAAGCAAUAGUAGUUCAAAGAUGUUCAAAUAUCACAAAUAUAAUACUAAGAUACAAAUCAGGGUAAUAAUAAUAAUUAAAAAAAAAACACAAGAAUAAAAGAAUAUCAAGAGGAAGGGAGUUUGAUGGAACUAAAAAAAUAACGAGACCAAAUGCGUCGACAGAGUAAAAAUCUUUUGGCAUUUUAAUUUUUUGGAUUCGAGCUACACUAAGGCCACACCAAUUUAAUUCCUUGUUCGACGGACCCGCCCGCAACUAUUUUUUUUUCAAAACAGAUUUUUUUUAUUUUUAUUAUAUUCCCGCUUCCCGCAUCCGGAAAUGUAAUCAUGUCCAUUUCCCACACCGUUUUUUUUGUAAAUAUUAUAAAAAGAUCUCAACAUUUGUUUUUAAAAUCACAGUACAUGUAUAACCUUUAUAUAACGAUUUUAAACCUAUAAGCACCCCACAACACUGUAAAUAUCUGGGAGGAUAUUUGUUUCAGCAUGAAACCAAUUUAUUCCAAGUGGGAGUGCUCCGAAAUAAAUAUAUAACAGCGGAAAUACCUGUACAGAACAAAACAUUGGUUACUUUCCCCCUGACUUAUAUUCCCUAUCAAAAAAUGUUCGUUGUUAAACAUUGUUAAAAAAAAGUACAAAGAACGUCUGAAGGAUUUGCCUUCAACUGCAAUUAUAAUGUAUGCUGACGGUCAUACCCGCUGCAGGUUUGUGCACCUGUCCUGAUUGAUUCAGGGACCUGUCGUUCAGCAGUUAUCGUUUGUUGAUGUGGUUCAUUGGUAAUUUCCCGUUUGGAAGUAUAAAUUAGAUCGUUGGUUUUCCUGUUCAAAUUGUGUACAAUACUAAGUAGUAGUCCCUUAUAGCUUGCUGUUUGGUCUGGAUCAAAGAUCUGUGUAAAAGGCCGUACUUUGACCUAAUGUAUGUUUGUUAUUAUCAGGUUAUCACUCAGACAGGGGCAUUAAAGGGGUCAUUUUACCAUGUUUACUGUUGUAGAAAAGAAAAUAGAAAUACUAAUGAUUUGUAUAGUGCUACUAUACAAAACCUUUGAAAACUUAGAAUUUUUACUCAAAAAGAGGAGAAAUACAUUAUAUUUUACAAAUGUUUUGAAACAACUUUUCUAAAAGAGGGGUCCACUUAUUUUGAAUAAUUCUAAACUGUUAAAGUGAACGUGUUAACAUGGUUAAAGUCAAGGAAUGUUACAAAAUUCUUAGACAUGUUUUGACCAUUUAAUACCAUAUAGAUAUUAUAGUUCUUUGGGAAAAUAUUAGCCCUUUUGUACUAUAAAGGUUGCACUUUGUAAAUACAGCUGUUUCUCAAAACACGCCUCUUUUGGGGAGUAAUUGAAUAUUCAUAGAAAAUUAAUUUUGUUUACAUACUGGUUCCCAGUUAUACUCUCUGUGUUCCAUAUCGCAGAGACAGAACUUGGGAAUGUUACCAGUAAAUAAACACGUGCAUAGUGUUUACAUUGAAAUCUGUGGUAACCUUCCAUUCGAGGUAGGGGUAGUUAAGAAAAUUAGUGUAAGUUUAAACUCUGAGAAGUUCAGGGCAUAUAAACGUUGAAAAUAUGCCGCACAGCUCUAUUUAUUGACCUUUGAAAAAAAUUGUGGUGCAUAUGAACUUUCAAUUCUAGGAUAAGAUUUUUUUCAAAACUUCAUAGUAAAAGUGGUACAGUUUUAGCCGUAAAAGGAGUUCCUAUGGGAAAUUGCCUUGUCAAUAUUUACAGAAAUGCAACCUAUAAAGAGUUUUUACAAACAAAAAUUAUUAUACAUGUAACUUAUAUUGACCCUUCCUAAAAGGGAUAUUCAUAACAUUAAGGGGCUGUUCUGAACCUGAUUAUGACUUUGAUGGAGAAUUGUCUCAUUGUCAGUCACACAUACAUAGAUCAGAUUUCAUUAUUCAAUUAUUUCUUGUUGAACAGGGAAAAAAUACUUCAUAAAUUAAAGAAAUGUCAAGAUACAAGUGAAAAAUCAAGUUUUAAUAUAGUCAAAACCUACUAUUUCAUGUUUACAAAAAAAAUUAUAAUCGCUCGCCCUUACUUUUUGAGCUUCGCCUCAAAAAUUUGCAAAUUAAAUAUUUUUUUAUUAAAAUUUUCAAAUCGCUCGCUCGCCUCAAUUUUCGGAGUCCAAAAAUCCGUAGAACAAGAAAUUAAAUUGAUGUGGCCUAAUGAUUCUUUUGAAGACGAACUCGCGUCUGGCGUAUAUACAAAUUUUCAUUCCUGGCGUAUAUGAUGAGUUUAUUGUGUACACAUUACCCAACCUGAUAAUCGGCACUUUAUAACAGUCAUGGUUAGAACGUAGUCAGUAAAUGUACAGAUCAGACGACGUCUCUGUUUUGAAAAGCUCACAAAACAUGUUAUCCUUGUCUUGUUUAAUUGCAACGUGACAGUUCGACAAAACAAGUACAAAGUUGACCUUAACCUUCUUGUGAUUUUCAUUUAUAAACAUCAAAGUGUCAGAAGAUAAAACUAAACUAACAGCGGUGGCAAGUAUAUGAUAACGCCUUAUACAUUUUUUGAUGUUUGCACACUUCCUCAAUUGACAAAUCAAUUAUUUACCCUCAUAGUUUUAUCUGAAAUAUCAAUUUCAGCAUCAUGCUUUUUUAGUUUGAUUGCAUCCGUUUCGCCGUAUUUACUUCCGUUAUAAUUUAUUUCGAUUAAUGUUGUUUUUUGUUAUUCAUUACUUUUCUACUAAAAUAUAAAAUAAUCUUUGACAUUAUCAUGAUAAAUCAUGACAGGAAAUAAAAAAAACAAAAUUUUGAACAAUACAACGACUAUCCACUAAUUCGAAGCACCAAUUUGUUAUAUGGUUUUUCGUUUUCCAGCCUUUGGUUGACAUUGCUGCUGGUAGAUUGCUAGUCUUCUUUGGAACACCUGCCCAGUAGACAGUGUUUUGUAACCGAUACUAUAUAUAUAGAACAUAAUGUUCUGGAAUUAAAACACAGUUUUGGUUGUUCUGCUAUUUAAGUUAUUACAGUUUAGGUUUCAUACUUUUGGUCUGGGUGCAGGUGUUGUAGGUUGGUCCAGAGAGAAUGUGACCCGAUGCAACAUACGGCUUAUGACGAAUGACACAUACAAAGAAAAGAAGCUGUAAAAGACUUUCAUACAUUUUUAUUAAAUGCUUAGUGACUAUGCGAUUUCAUCUGUAUAAUGGAUUUUCAAAUCACACAUUGAUACAUUUAAGCCUUAUUAUAACAAGGCAUUAUGAACAAGAGAAUAUUGAGUUUUCUUGUUGUAUACUUUCCACAUUCAUAUGUAUAUUAUACACUCUUGGUUUUCAAAUAGUUAGUUUAGAGCAUUCCUUCGGAUACAGGACACUAAUACAGUGUUUUUUUCCCCUCAUUUGAAAGUUUAUUGGUAGGCUGCAACACGUUUAAAUGUGUUCCAAUAAUGUCAAUAAAUAAAAGUAACAGUAGUAUACCGCUUUUGAAAAGUCAUCAAUCGAUUGAGGAAAAACAGAUCCGGGUUUUAAACUCGAAUCGAAGUAAACAAAUCAAGCGAUUUCUCCUUUUGUAUAUUUGAUUUAUAAAAUACAAGCAUGAAUAUUAAAAUCUAAAUAAUAUCCAGAUGAUACAAUUAACAAUGCAUAUAGACUCAUUUCAACGAAAACUACGAUUUUGACGAAAGAAAACCAAACUGGUUGAUUACAGCUAACUACUCUUUUUUUUAAAUUCUGCCUUUAUAAGAUUUUGAAAUAAUUAUUAUUCUUAUUUUGCUUGUUCAGUGAAAUGACAUUAAAUAUAAGUAUUAGAGAACCGUGUCUUCGUCAAUAUUUCGUUGUAAAAAUGUUGUUUACUUCUAAAUUAUUAAGUUAGUGUAUUUAUUCAUUGAACGAUUUAUUUUCUAAAAUGCAACUUUAUUGAUUGAUUAUAUUUCAAUUACAUUUCCAAUAUUGAAGAAGUAGUUUUUCUUUAUGCUUUCAAUUUGAAAAUUGAUUAAUUUGUUAUUUGUUAAUAAUAAAAUUAUUCAAUUUUAAAAUCAUCCAAUGGAUGUUUUUUCCUCACCUAAAAGAAUGGCAGGCAAUUUAAACAUCUUCACGUAGAAAAUAGUUUUUAAAUCAUGAUAUAGUUUUAAACAUGUUAAACAUUCCCCAAGAUUUACCGAAAUUGGAUAAAAUAUCGAAAUUAUUGUAAUGUUAUUCAAUUACGUAAAAAGUUUUCUGUUCCCUUCUUUAAUUUAGAGUAUAACUUGUAGUUUCAUUUCUACUCUUAUAGAAGAAGACUAACUAUGAUAAAAAAAUCUCCUAAAAACACAGAUUAAAAUAAAAACAGAGAAGUAAACUAAACCGAAAGAGUAAUUUUAAAGUCAAGGAAAUUAUACAACUGGCAAAUACUAUAGAAAAAACCAACUAUCGUUUGAAGCAUUAUUCAUCAAAUGUCAAAUUCAAUAUGAUGUAAUUUACAAGUUGAAUGUAAAUGUUGAUAGAAUAUUAAGUUCAAAGCAAUUUUUAAGCCUGGUUUCUAUGAUGAGUUUAUUUUUCAUGUUUAAAAAGAUUUUAAAAGUUAAUGAAGGAGAAAGGUAAAAAGAAACCAAGUAGCAUUGAAAGUGUAAAGUACUGAAAAUCUCAGACAUAUCAGGCUCUCAGAAAUGUCUUGUCAGAGAUUGGUGGUAUUUUCCUUUAAUUGUUUAGCUUUUAUCACCGUAACAUUUAGUUUUUUAAACAUGUCCAACUCGUGCAUUGUACCAGUCCCAACUGUGCUGUGUUUGUUAUAAGAAUUCGGUAAUUACUCGAUUUGGUGUUUAUAAGUUUCCUGACUGAUUGUAUUGCAUUUCUAAUUCAGCACAACAUUUCUAUUCCAGAGCCUAUUUGUGAUUUUGACGAAGAAUGCAAUAUGUUUGAAGAUGAGUCAAAAAUCAAGAUAAACUACAAUGAUACUGAAUGCAAUGGAAACUGCAAACCACUCCCCAAUAUUAAACAGGACCAAAACACAGGUAAUUAUUAAUCUGCAGGGCUUUUAAUGUUAAUAUCAAAGAUGUAUUUAUGUCGAUACCUCUAGUGGUGGACUAUCAGAUACGAGGGUAUCAUCAGCUCAGUAGUCAGUACUUUGAUACUGAUAUGAUUUCAAACAAAACUUUGAACAAUUUUGAAAUUAUUCAGAAACUGAGAUACCAACUCCUUCAGGCAAAGUUUACCUUCGAUGGAUUUGACUAUCCUUUAUGGUUACAAAGCACUUUAACUGUUUCGGUUCUUAUACAUCCUUGGAUUUAAAAUAUUUGGCAUUAGACGUUCUUGAUGAAUGUACAUUCAGAAAAUUGUUUCGAAGGUGUUUGAUUUGUAUGCAUAUACUUGAUUCAUUUGUAUUUAAGGUGUCUGACACUUUUAACACUCAUAGAAUAAGCUAAAAAUGAGAAACAGUCCUCUACAAUGCAUUUCAAUGAACCUCGUAAAAGGGUAAAGGAGAUGGGGCCUUUUUCACAAUCAUAUUCUGUUGAUUUAACAUUUGUUUUGUUAUUAAUAUAGUGUUUGGCAUACAGAAUCAUCUAAAAAUACUUAUUUGUAAAAACAUUAAAUCGACAUUUCACGAAUGAAAAAUCAAAGGUAAUUUAGUAUUGGUCAUCAAACAAACAAAAGGAAUAAAUAAUAUGACAUUCAAUAAGGGUAUGUUUACAGGAUUAACAUGGGCGUGUAAACAUGUAUGCUUUAGUAGUCACGUCGUCUGAGGUCAUAGACAUGUUACGAAAAGUUAUAUUCACGACGCUGAGGUUGAUUAAUUACAAUUUAAAUGUGGGAACUGUGUCAAAACACAAAAAAAUUAACAUUGAAUAUGAUUUAAAACCUGCAUUGAUCCUUUUGGAGGCAAUUCCGUAUGGAACGACUAUUCAAUAGCAUUUGUACUAUAAGAAAAAUAUAAGAAAUAAAUAUUAACAAAUCGCAUAAUAUUUUUAAGAAACUAUAAUGCAAAAAAAAUGGAAGGAGGAGGGGAUCAUGAUAAUGCAGUAGAUGUGCGGGGCAUCGGAGACACGGGGUGGUACAUACAUGUACAUGUGUGAAUUCUUCGGCGAGCCCUUGAUAGACCUUGCCAAUAAUCUUAAUUUUUAAUAGCUAAUCACUAGUAAUUUUUGGGCCCUGUAUAACUUGCUAUUCGGUGUGAGCCAAAGCUUCGUAUUGAAGGCCGUACCUUGACCUAUAAUGGUGUAAUUUUAUUUUAUAAAUUGUUACAUGGAUGGAGAGUUGUCUCAUUGGCACUCAUACCACAUCUUCCUAUAUUUACUUGCCAAUAAUCUUAAUUAUUAUAAUUUGUUUUAUACCUACUCGUGAAUAUAUAUGUAUAUAACGGUCAUUUCUAUAUAGUGACGUAAAACAAACAAAGGAGUGCGUGUAUUUUGAUCCAGUCGUUUGCCGCUUAAAUUUUUGUCUAACGGGGUCUGUUUUAAAACACAUAAAACACGAUUUUAAUUCAAUUUUAGUUUUUGAAAAUUUACUCCCCGCCAUAUAGCGUCCUUUAUUUCCUUUCAAGUUUAUCUUAAAUUAAACAGUUUCAACUCAAUUUGUUGUUUCCUUAUAUGGGAUUUUUUGAUUGAUUGAUUGUUGCUUGCUUAACGUACAGUGGCAAAUAUUUCAUGCAUGUUCAGAACGAUAAGAGGUUUGAGUAAAAUAUGACUCACUACUCUCCGGUUGAACAUCCCUACAGUUUCAAAAGCAUUGCAUAAUAACUUUGCAUUUACACCUUAACAACACCUUAUGCAGACAUUGCAUUCAUACACAGGUUAUUUAGGACAACAGAAAUUAUAUAAGAUUUAUUCGAAGUUGUUUCCUAGGACACCAAAAUGAUGCCCAACAGUAUAAUCUAUUGUCUUUAAUUGGACCAGAUUUGGAGUCAGAUUUCCCCUAAAGUUUUGUCAUCAUGUCGAUCGCACCUCGUUACCCCUUACAGAUGUCAUCAACUGUGAGCUUAAACCAAGAGCAGAAAGAAGAAAAUGUAAAAAUAUGAAUUUGCGUAUAUCAGAGUGGCGGGUAUAUGUCGAACACGCUAUAAGACGCUUAACAACUUUCAGAGUCAUUGGAAGCUUAUGGAGACACCCGAGAAAGAAAAAGAACAACCAGACAGAGCUUUGUGCGGGAUUAGUGUAGCGACAGAUUGAGCUUUUUCAGGAACUGUAAUACAACAAUAAAACUUAUAUCUAACGUGCUUACUAUGUAUUAAUUAUCAAUCUAACUAGAAUCGAAUGAACUUGUAUCUCUCAGCCCCCGUCUUCUAGCCCACCCUAUCCGGCACGUGUACACCUUUUAUGUCUUAUGGUAUCACAAAAGCAUAAUGAUGUUCUAGAUAAAUGUGAUUUUAAUUAACCAAGACGCACAGGAUUCAAAUGUUACCUGUUUAAAUCUAGAAUCAAUGUUUUGACACCGUCCCCAAUUUUUAAGUGUAAUUUGUCAACCUCAGCGUCGAGAAUAUACCUUUUCGUAACAUGUCUAUUAAUACAACGCAUACCAUAAAUUUUAUGAAGAAUAAUCCUUUCUCUUUUUUUUUUUUUGUUGUUGCUGCAGGCAGAUAUGGGUAUUUAUCUCUAUCAUCAUGGAGUCACCCAGCUAGUUUACAAACAAAAAUGAUUUUUGGUAGUGGUUACGGAUGCCAAUUUCAGUACUCAAUUUGGAUUUGGCCGAAAGUGACGGUCAGGAUUUUUAUCAAUACUCCUACGACACGGA
Molecule: long non-coding RNA, 14681 nt
Filed under: Mytilus galloprovincialis (Mediterranean mussel)
Lineage: Eukaryota; Metazoa; Mollusca; Bivalvia; Mytilida; Mytilidae
Source: RNAcentral